GAUCCUGGCUCAGGACGAACGCUGGCGGCGUGCCUAAUACAUGCAAGUAGAACGCUGAAGGAGGAGCUUGCUCUUCUGGAUGAGUUGCGAACGGGUGAGUAACGCGUAGGUAACCUGCCUGGUAGCGGGGGAUAACUAUUGGAAACGAUAGCUAAUACCGCAUAACAUUGACUAUUGCAUGAUAGUCAAUUAAAAGGUAGCAAUUGCACCACUACCAGAUGGACCUGCGUUGUUA
Molecule: ribosomal RNA, 235 nt
Filed under: uncultured bacterium
Lineage: Bacteria
Description: partial 16S ribosomal RNA
Rfam family: Bacterial small subunit ribosomal RNA
Source: RNAcentral